UACGUAGGGUGCGAGCGUUGUCCGGAAUCACUGGGCGUAAAGGGCGCGUAGGCGGCGCGGGCAGUCAACGGUGAAAGCUCGGAGCUCAACUCCGAGUCGGCCGUCGAUACUCCCGUGCUUGAGCACUGUAGAGGCAGAUGGAAUUCCGGGUGUAGCGGUGGAAUGCGUAGAGAUCCGGAAGAACACCGGUGGCGAAGGCGGUCUGCUGGGCAGUAGCUGACGCUGAUGCGCGACAGCGUGGGGAGCAAACAGG
Molecule: ribosomal RNA, 253 nt
Filed under: uncultured bacterium
Lineage: Bacteria
Description: partial 16S ribosomal RNA
Rfam family: Bacterial small subunit ribosomal RNA
Source: RNAcentral